Ameiurus melas (black bullhead) is the source of this 76-nucleotide non-coding RNA. The record is from the annotation of a GenBank genome assembly. Lineage: Eukaryota; Metazoa; Chordata; Actinopteri; Siluriformes; Ictaluridae.
GGACGCACGGUGGCUUAGUGGUUAGCACGUUCGCCUCACACCUACAGGGUCGGGGGUUCGAUUCCCACCGUGUCCC